This 253-nucleotide ribosomal RNA is filed under the name uncultured bacterium. RNAcentral's name for it is "partial 16S ribosomal RNA". It matches the Rfam family "Bacterial small subunit ribosomal RNA", at positions 524 to 776 of the family's 1533-position model. The record is from RNAcentral.
UACGUAGGGUGCAAGCGUUAAUCGGAAUUACUGGGCGUAAAGCGUACGCAGGCGGCUUUGCAAGACAGGUGUGAAAUCCCCGGGCCUAACCUGGGAACUGCAUUUGUGACUGCAUGGCUAGAGUUUGUCAGAGGGGGGUGGAAUUCCACGUGUAGCAGUGAAAUGCGUAGAUAUGUGGAGGAACACCGAUGGCGAAGGCAGCCCCCUGGGAUUUGACUGACGCUCAUGUACGAAAGCGUGGGGAGCAAACAGG